UGUCCUAGGAGGCGUCAAUUGUGAAACUAUUCCACACUCCUUGAGAUAAUCGUGGAAUUCAAGACUUAGGUACUCUCCUCCUCGAUCGGAUCGAAGCAUCUUGAUUUUCCUGCCCAAUUGAUUCUCCACUUCAUUCUUGAACUCUUUGAACUUUUCAAAGGUGUCUGACUUUUGCUUGAUUAAGUAGAUAUACCCAUAUCUACUAUAGUCAUCGGUAAAAGUCACAUAGAAGCGGUUCCCAUCCUUCGUGGUUGAUCUAAACGGUCCACAUACAUCGGUAUGUAUUAGGUCCAAUAGACCCUCGCCCCUUUCACAUGUACUCGUGAAGGGUGACUUAGUCAUCUUUCCAAGCAAACAAGACUCGCAUGUGUCAUCUUCCCUAAGGUCGAAUGACUCCAACACUCCAUCCUUUUGGAGUUGGGCUAUGCGUUUCUUGUUGACAUGUCCAAGACGACAAUGCCACAAGGAUGCUUUAUCCAUACUAGUGGAAGAAUCAAUAUUCAAAACAUCAUUUCCUAAGUUAUCAACAAUCAUAACGGUUUCAUAUAUUCCAUUACAUGGUAUAGCUUCAAAGUAAAAGACACCAUUUAGAUAAGCCAAAAUAGAACCAUUCUCAUUAUUAAAAGAAAAUCUAAAUCCUUGUCUAUAUAAACCAUGAAAUGAAAUGAUGUUUCUUGCCAUUUCUGGCGAAUAGCAACAAUUGUUCAAAUCUAAAACUAAACUAUUCCUAAGCACUAAGGAAUACACUCCAAUCUUGGUCACAGGCGACGAUCUUCUGUUCCCCAUGAUUAGAUUGAUCCUUCCUUGCUCCACAUCCCUACUUCUUCUUAGUCCCUGCACAUUAGAACAAAUGUGAUAACCACAACCGGUAUCAAGAACCCAAGAAAUAGCAUGAUUAGAAUCGUUAGAUUUGAUUGUAUAUAUACCUGCGAAAGAUGGCUUGAUCUUUCCUUCUUUGAUUGCUUGCAGGUAAUCUGGGCAGCUUCUCUUCCAAUGUCCUAUCUUGUGGCAGUGGUGGCACUCUGCCUCCUUCGGGUUAGAGCAGGGCUUAGCGGGAUCAACUUUGGUCCCACUAGAAGAGGCACCAUCUCGGGCUUUCACCUUGCGAUAGUUCUUCGAUGAAGCUUUCCUCUUCUUUCCCUUCCCUUGUCCAAUAGCCAAGACAGGAGCAGCGGGCGGAUUGGGAGUAGGUGCAACAGACUUGUCUUUGAAGUUGCUCUCAGCAACCCUCAAGAGACCUUGGAGCUUGCUUAGGGUGACCUCUUCUUUGUUCAUGUGGUAGGUCAUCCUAAAUUGAUUGUACAUCGGAGGCAAAGAGUGAAGCACCAUGUCGAUCGCCAAAUCCUCACCGAAGUCAACAUUUAACUUGCGAAGGCGGUCGACAUACCUUUGCAUCUUUUGCAAGUGCACGGUAAGAGAUUCUCCAUGACCCAUCUUCGCGGAAAUCAUGUUAGUGAAAAUCUCGUACCUCUCUUGUCUCGCGUUUUGGUGGUACCUCUCCAAUAAGUCUUGAUGCAUCUCGUACGGGUACAUGUCCUCGUAGGACUUUUGGAAUUCGGAGUUCAUGGUGGCGAUCAUGAUGCAAUGUACCUUCGUUGCAUCUCGCUCAUGAGUCUCAAAAGCGGUGAUUUCGGCGGGAGUAGCGAUUUCGGGGUUGAUUUUCUCGAGCUUCUCAUCGAGGACAUACUCCUUAUCCUCAUAGCGAGCAAUGGUGCGAAUGUAUCUUAUCCAUUCGCUAAAGUUCGUUCCAUCGAAGGUGACCUUUUGGCAAAGGCUCAUCAACGUGAAAGAACUAGCAGCAGCGUUGUUUGCGUUCGACAUCUACAAUUAGAAAAGGACAAAGAUAGAUUAGAAUAAGAAUCCCUAAUUAUCACCCAAUAAGAAAAUUAGGGCUAGGAUCCAACAAUAACAUUUACAUACUAGAAAAGGGAUGCCGUAAUCUAACAUGCAAAUAAAUUGAAGGUAAGUGAAUGACGAUUCACUAAUUCUCCAUCACAAAACUUAAACUAUUAGUCCUAAGUGUUUUUGAGAAUUCCUAGGUUCGGAUGAGAUUCAUUGAAACUAUUCAAUGGCAUGUUUAAAUCUCGAUAUGCCCCUCUUGUUUGUGACUGGGAUGCCGAGGAUCACAAAGCGGGUGUGAAUUACCAUGCAAAUUCACAUGGUGCCUUCAUUGUAACGAUCACCUAUUCGAUGUGCCGGUAAACCACACACGCUCCAUCGAACUAUGAUAAACAAUGAAUCACCCUUUGCCACCUUCGCUUAGAACCAAUUAGUGUGCCGGUAAACCACACACGCUCCACUAACAUCUUAGCAAGGUGCAAAGUGUAAUUUCAUGGGAUUGCAUCAAUUCACUUUUCCUAAAGUAACUAGGAUUGGGAAAUUUUAAAAUAUGUGUAGUUACUUUGUAUUUCUUAUUAUACUUUUAAUGAGAGGAUGAGGUUGCCCUAUCCUACCCGUUCGGCUAACGACCCUCCACCAAUCAAGCAAGCGGUGGGUGUGAGUGUACACCCAUUAAGCGCCAUUUUAUAGGCCGCAACCUUAUACCCACCUUAUAGAUCGGCUUCGUGAAUGAGGCCUACUAACGGUAAGACUAGCAUUUAGUUAUACAUAUAUAUAUUAUUCUAGUAAUAUCAUAUUAGUAUAGGGUUGUAUUUUAAAACUUUUAAAAUCUAGGGUUUGAAAUUUAAGUUGUCUAAAUUAAAACUUUUAAUCACAAAAGUAAAUUUCAAAACAUGAGGGUAGGUUUUAAACAUUUAAAACAUGGAGGAUCAAAUAACAAAUAAUUCCAAUUAACAAUUAAUAUCCUAAUUAUCUAUAUUUGAUUUAUUCAAGAUUUCUUUUUAAGAUAAUUACCAAAAUAAUUAAAAUAAUUAAUUAAUUAUCAUAUAAGGAAAUUAAAUAUUUAAUUAGUUGAUAAUUACCUUUAACUAGAUCAAGAUAAUAGUUAUAUUUAUCAGAAAAACGAAUUAAUGUUGAUCUAAUUAGUUUAUGGUAAGUUAAGAUAAGAUAAACACAAAGAAAUCCCGAAUCUGGCCAUUCCUGACGCCUGGACUCGCCGAGUGCACAAAUGGACUCGCCGAGUCAGGCCUACUCGCCGAGUCCACUUUGAGACUCGCCGAGUCCAUGACUCAGAAACCAAAAAAUCGAAUUUUGCAGGUUUGUUUCAGUUAAUCAAGCAACAAUUUAAAGAAAACCAAGCUAGGCUCUGAUACCACUGAUGGGUUUUAGCCAUAAGAACUUUCCUAUGUGCGCAUGCAAAACCCUAAUGCUUGGAUCUAGGCUUUCUAAUAAACAUGCAUUGAAUCCAAGUCUUCUAAUGACUAAUUAGGUUAAAUAACAACAUUGAAACAGAUCUAGAAUCAUACCUUUGAGUUCCUUGUUGAUCUUGAGGUCUUGGAGCUUCUAGAGUCACAAGUGUCACUCCUCUAAUGGCUUACAAACACCAAUAGCAAUAAGAAUGAUUUAGGAGAGAGGAGAGGGGAGGAAUUCGACCAGAGUUCUCUUGCUUUUUCAGAAGUGUCGAAUUCCCUAUGCCAUGGGGUCUAUUUAUACUUGUAGACUCCUUAAGGAUUACAGAUAAGUCCCUAUCAGAUAAUCUUCUCUUAAGGCUAUCCAAAUCCAUUCCUAGAUAACUCUAAUGGACGAUUUUAGCUAUCCUAAUCCUCUUAGAAUUCGUCCAUAGCAUAUCCAAAUGGAUUUACAGUCUAAAGCUUAACUAUCAAACAAUUGACAGUUUAUACCCCUUUAUUUAAUUAAUCUCUUUAAGUCACCAAAUUAAUUCUAAUUAAUUCUAUGACUUAUAUUAAUCAAAUAACAAAUAUAUUAUUCAUUAUAUUAUUCUCAUAAUAUAUUAAUAAUAUUUACUCUCUCUUAAUAAAUCAUCCUAUCAAGUUGCUAUGGUGAAGGCAACCCAAAAGGACCAUGCACAACCGGAUCAAAUACUUGCCUAAUAUAGUUACAGCCUUAGACACUAUUCCAACAGUCUCCCACUUGGAUAAGUCUAGUAACUAUACAAGUACAAUUCGGUUUGCAAUCGUAGCUCUCAAAGACGCUGUCAACUCUGAUCUAAUCAAUCUUGUCCUUUAGAUAAGGGAACGUACAGUCCUCUGUUAGAUAUCAUGCUGACAAUCCUAUGGAAUGGUUAGUCAAGCAUUUAGGUUUCUCGAUCUCUGAUUUAUUUGACAUAGAACUUAAUCGAACACAUCAAUUCAGUUCUGACCGGGCCCGGCACAUAAGUCAAAUCAAAUCAUCGAGCGGCCGAGAUAUCGCUUUUACCUUCUUAGAUAAAAGUUACAGAUAAACUUCGACUUAUAUGCAUUUACUUAUUCAUUAACCAACUAUACACAACAAUACGUUUUAUAACACCAAGUUACUGAUGCGUUUUCGUAUUAUCAAUGUACAAUCAAUUAACAAAUAAUAAACCAUAUAUCUAGGUUUUAAGACUAUAUGAUAUUAUCGUCUUGCGAUCACCUUUUAUAUCGUAUUCCAUAAGGUGAUUCCAGCAAGCGCGGGUUUAUUCCAAUGCUCAAAACUAGUUCAUAAGCACUCAUGAACGUUGCAGCAAUCCUUUGCUAUGUCUAACACCAUUUAGACAUUCUACACACCAAUUCAUGACAAUCUUCAUUCAUAUCUACUCCCAACAUAUGAACGAUUGUGGACCAUUUGAACAAUUCGAUUAUUCCUAAUAAACUCAAUUAUUCUGGAAGUCAAAACAUGCAAAGUGAAACAAUAGCUAAACAAUUAACAUAAGAUAGUAACAUUACUCAUAAAUAAAACUCCUUUAUUUAAUCAUCAAAUGUUAAUUACAUUUAUCUAUUACACGUUUCUAAUACUAUCUAAUCUAUGCUAAUAUCAUCCUUCAGCCCAAUACUCCUAGCAUGCUGCAAGUGCUUAACCCUACUCAGUCCCUUCGUAAGCGGAUCUGCUGGGUUAUCUUCUGAUGAUAUCCUCUUCACUACGAGUUGUCCUUCUUCUACACGAUGUCUAAUGAAGUGAUAUUUUCUGUCGAUAUGUCUUGAUCUACCAUGAUCCCUCGGUUCCUUGGUCAAGGCAACCGCUCCUUCGUUAUCACAGAAAAUCUCCAUGGGCUCCUUUAUGGCAGGUACAACUCCAAGAUCACCGAUGAAGUUCUUUAGCCAUAUUGCCUCCUUCGACGCUUCGCUCGCUGCAAUGUACUCUGAUUCGCACGUUGAAUCAGCUACGGUUUCCUGCUUGGAACUCUUCCAUGUCACUGCUCCUCCAUUUAGGGUAAAGACCCAGCCCGACUGCGAACGGUAGUUGUCCCUGUCGGUCUGAAAACUGGCGUCACUAUACCCUCGCACCUUCAAGUCAUCACUCCCUCCGAGGACUAAGAACCAUUCCUUCGUCCUCCGAAGGUACUUAAGGAUAUUCUUCACCGCAAUCCAAUGUGCUUUGCCAGGAUUCCCUUGAUAUCUGCUAACCAUGCUCAAAGCGAAGGCUACAUCAGGGCGAGUACAAGUCAUAGCGUACAUGAUUGAGCCAACUGCGGAAGCGUAUGGUACUCGGCUCAUUUCUGCUAUCUCAGCUUCGGUACUCGGACUUUGAGUCUUACUCAAUUUGGCAUUACUUUGUAUCGGUAGUUCUCCCUUCUUUGAGUUUUCCAUACUAAAACGUUUUAGUACCUUCUCUAAGUAAGUAUUCUGACUAAGUCCAAUUAGUCUCUUACUUCUUUCUCUUACUAUCCUUAUUCCCAAAAUGUAAGAAGCCUCUCCGAGGUCCUUCAUAGCGAAGCACUUCCCGAGCCAGGACUUAACCUCCUGCAGAGUCGGGAUGUCGUUUCCUAUGAGUAAUAUGUCAUCGACAUAUAGAACGAGGAAGCUUACUAUACUCCCACUGGCUUUGACAUAUACACAAGAUUCGUCUUCGCUUCGUACAAAUCCAAACUCUUUGACUUUCUCAUCGAAGCAAAGAUUCCAUCUGCGAGACGCUUGCUUAAGUCCAUAAAUGGACUUCUCAAGCUUACACACUCUAUCCGGAUGCUUCGGAUCCACAAACCCCUCUGGCUGAGCCAUGUAAACAUCCUCAGCCAACUUUCCGUUAAGGAAAGCGGUCUUGACAUCCAUUUGCCAAAUCUCAUAAUCAUGAAAUGCGGCAAUUGCUAGCAUCACUCUAAUAGAUUUAAUCUUCGCAACUGGUGAGAAGGUCUCAUCAUAGUCAACUCCGGGAGUUUGAGUAAAGCCCUUCGCAACCAAUCGCGCUUUAUAUGUGUGUACGUUUCCAUCCACGUCGGUCUUCUUCUUGAAGAUCCAUUUGCACCCAACGGUCUUACGUCCGGGCACAUAAUCAACCAAAUUCCAAACUUGGUUAUCAUACAUGGAUUGGAUCUCGCUAUCCAUUGCCUCUUUCCAUUUUGCAGACUCCGGGCCUGCCAUGGCUUCCUUAUAGCUAUUAGGUUCAUCAAGAUUUACUAGUGUACCAUCACUAAUAUACGUGUCCCCUUCGGUAGUAAUAUGAAAACCAUAAAACUGGGGAUGAACUCUAACUCUAUCGGAACGUCUAAGAGGUAAGGAUUCGUCAAUCGGUUCAACCGGAGUUUCCUCCUCGGGUUGAGUGCCAGCGGUAGAGGUUCCUUCAUCUAUCGACUCUUGAAUCUCUUCAAGUUCGAUUUGCCUCCCACUGUCUCCUUGGCUUAUGAGUUCUCGCUCUCGGAAAACUCCUCUCCUCGCAACGAAGACAACAUUGUCCUUCGGUCUAUAGAAGAGAUAUCCAAAGGAUGUCUGCGGGUAGCCGAUGAAAAUACAUCGCUCACUUCGAGGUUCAAGCUUGUCGUGAGUAUCUCGUCUUACGAAAGCCUCGCAACCCCAAACCUUGAUAUGUGCCAACGAGGGAGCUUUCCCUGUCCACAUCUCGUGAGGUGUUUUGGCAACCUUCUUAGUAGGGACUCGGUUAAGGAUAUGGGCGGCAGUCUCUAAGGCAUACCCCCAAAAAGAGAUAGGUAGUGAAGCACGACUCAUCAUAGAGCGAACCAUAUCCAAUAAGGUUCGAUUACGCCUUUCUGCCACACCAUUCAACUGCGGUGUCCUAGGAGGCGUCAAUUGUGAAACUAUUCCACACUCCUUGAGAUAAUCGUGGAAUUCAAGACUUAGGUACUCUCCUCCUCGAUCGGAUCGAAGCAUCUUGAUUUUCCUGCCCAAUUGAUUCUCCACUUCAUUCUUGAACUCUUUGAACUUUUCAAAAGUUUCUGACUUUUGCUUGAUUAAAUAGAUAUACCCAUAUCUACUAUAGUCAUCGGUAAAAGUCACGUAGAAGCGGUUCCCAUCCUUCGUGGUUGAUCUAAACGGUCCACAUACAUCGGUAUGUAUUAGGUCCAAUAGACCCUCACCCCUUUCACACGUACUUGUGAAGGGUGACUUAGUCAUCUUUCCAAGUAAACAAGAUUCGCAUGUGUCAUCUUCCCUAAGGUCGAAUGACUCCAACACUCCAUCCUUUUGGAGUUGGGCUAUGCGUUUCUUGUUGACAUGUCCAAGACGACAAUGCCACAAGGAUGCUUUAUCCAUACUAUUGGAAGAAUCUAUGUUCAAAACAUCAUUUCCU
Molecule: long non-coding RNA, 7554 nt
Filed under: Lactuca sativa (garden lettuce)
Lineage: Eukaryota; Viridiplantae; Streptophyta; Magnoliopsida; Asterales; Asteraceae
Description: long non-coding RNA (LSAT_LNC006783)
Source: RNAcentral